CGGACGGGACGGCCCGUUCGAAACACUGAACACGAGGACGACCUCG
Molecule: non-coding RNA, 46 nt
Filed under: Paeniglutamicibacter gangotriensis
Lineage: Bacteria; Bacillati; Actinomycetota; Actinomycetes; Micrococcales; Micrococcaceae
Description: Arthrobacter gangotriensis Guanidine-II sequence
Rfam family: Guanidine-II riboswitch aptamer (mini-ykkC)
About the family: Simpler in structure and has fewer highly conserved nucleotide positions than the ykkC-yxkD leader. Despite this each of its two stem-loop structures directly bind free guanidine.
Source: RNAcentral